RNAcentral lists this long non-coding RNA (549 nucleotides) under Panax ginseng (ginseng). RNAcentral's name for it is "long non-coding RNA (PGIN_LNC018397)". Lineage: Eukaryota; Viridiplantae; Streptophyta; Magnoliopsida; Apiales; Araliaceae. The record is from RNAcentral.
UCUGGUUUUGAUUCAAAUGAAAUUGUAUAAAUACAUAUAAUUAGUAUUGUUGCUUACAUGCGACUUUAGAAUUUGUUUCUUUUCUCCACAUUUUUUGUUCCAAAUUUUCAUACCAAACAGCUAAAUUUUGGGUCCUUAAUCCCAAUCCACAGUUUGUUCUGAUCACAAACAGCUCCUCAAAUUCAUUGGUGAUGCUCUUUCUUCAUUCUGAGGUAUCUAUUAUGCCUUUUUAUGUAUUUGUCUUUUACCCUUUUAGGUGUUUUCCAUUGAUGGAAAGAUAGAGAAUGCAUAAAAGCAAAUACCCAUUUUGGUUUAUUUGUUUACGAGAUUAAGUUUUCUUGUUUGAUGAUCAUGGAUAUUGUUACGGACAGGGGAAUGAAUUGGGGUUCGAAAAUAAACCAAAUAUGGAAAGUGGGAAGCAAAGUUCAAAUGGUUCUUGCAUUUGAUGAAUUGAGGAUGAUUUGAAUGAUCUUCUUCUUGAUUGUUUUUACAGAAAUAGUGAUUUUUUCGGAUUAAAAAUGCGAUUGUUGAUCUGGGUUUUUGAGGGGA